Non-coding RNA from Elaeis guineensis (African oil palm), 4089 nucleotides. NCBI's taxonomy places the organism in Eukaryota, Viridiplantae, Streptophyta, Magnoliopsida, Arecales, Arecaceae. The record is from RefSeq and is a predicted model, not a curated record.
GGAAGCCAACAGGGCUCUGUUAUUUCCGCGAGCAGCGUCACUUGCCUCCUCUAUUCUCCUCCUGGGCCGUCGUCGUGCCGCCGGCGCCACCGCUCCGUCGAGAAAUCCUGCUUCCCUCUACGCCCUAGACCCGCCAUCGCCACCAUCUCCCAAUCCUACUCCGAAUUGAUUUGGGCCGGAUCUAACUCGGGAACGGGACGAUCGCCGUAGUUUCCAAACCCUUCUCUACCUCUCGGUGGAUCUCGCUGUCCCGCCACCAUUUUUAGCUCCCAUCGAUCUCGAGCUCGCUCGCUCGGUCGAUCGAUCUCGGAAUUCUUUCCGUCUUCUAGAUAAGCUCGCUGGCCAACGACUAGAUCUUGAGGCUGGUCAACAUGAUGAGCUCCGGACGGAGUAAAGGGAUUUUUGAUGGGCUGCCCAUUCCUGCUGACAAGUCUUAUUUGAGAGAAGGACUUUCUCGAAUAGAUGAAGGUUGGGCAGCUGCACGUUUUGAUUCUCUGCCUCAUGUUGUGCACAUUUUGACGUCGAAGGAUCGUGAAGGUGAAAUGCAGUUCUUGAAGGAACAAAGCGAUCUCAUCGAGGAUAUUGUUGACGAAGUUGUACAUUCAUAUCAUCAUGGUUUCAAUAAAGCAAUUCAAAACUACUCCCAUAUCCUGCGGUUGUUUAGCGAAUCCGCUGAAAGCAUUUCUGUGCUAAAGGUUGAUAUGGCAGAGGCAAAGAAACUUCUAGGUUCUCGAAACAAGCAGCUGCAUCAAUUGUGGUAUCGAUCUCUUACACUACGUCACAUUCUAUCUCUGCUGGAUCAAGUUGAGGGUGUAGCCAAGGUUCCUGCUCGCAUCGAGAAGCUGAUCAUAGAAAAGCAGUUAUAUGCUGCAGUUCAGUUGCUUGUCCAGUCAACAUUGAUGCUAGAGAGAGAGGGCCUUCAAGUGGUUGGCGCUCUUCAAGAUGUUCGAUCUGAAUUAACAAAGUUGCGUGGGGUUUUGUUCUAUAAAGUUCUUGAAGAUUUACACAAUCAUCUUUACAAUAAGGGUGAAUUCAGCUCAACUACAUUGAGCAUACCUGAGAGAGAUGAUGAAAUACCAACUACCACUGCCAUUGGGCUCUCAGUAAGCAGUUCACAGCCUCUAUCUAGGAGAACCAGGUCAUUGAAAGGCGACAAUCACAUUGGUGGACCUGAUGGAUCUUUUAGGCCAGGGUCUGUUGAUGGCAGGCUUGACUAUUUUGAACAUGGUCUGCCACACCGCCUGGUAGGGCGUACCAUACCAUACUGCCUUGCUGUUUCGCACCAUACUGACACUCGCUCUUCAUUUGAUGGUCAUGAUGAUGAGAGCACUAUGGAGGUACUUGAUGGUGGUGCCUCUGAUGGUGUUCUUCAAUCCUUGAAGGCCCACGCUGGUGAUGGACAUGUUAAGACUAUUUCUCGACAAAUUCCAACAUGGCUUUCAUAUGCCACACCAGAUGAAUUUCUUGAAUCAAUGAAAAAGAGCAAUUCCCCUACCCAUGUGAAAUAUUUACAUACAUUAGUAGAGUGCCUGUGUAUGCUUGGCAAAGUUGCAGCUGCUGGUGCUAUGAUAUGUCAAAGACUGCGAUCUACCAUUCAUGAUGUGAUUACUUCAAAAAUAAAAGAACAUGCAGCACUAAAUUCAUCGAGGUCAUGCAUGAGUCAGGUUACCCGAACAGCUACUUCUGACUUGUAUUAUUCGAAAGGAUUGUUAGAUAGCUACCAGGUGCUGAAACAGAAGCAUAGGAAUGGGACGUCUUCUGUGGGGACACAAGUGGCUAUUAGUCCAGUCUCUUCAGCGAUGACACCUAUGGGCACGGCACAGUCAGCAACCAGCGAACUUCUUAGCUUGAUAUUAGAUUCUGUCAUUCGUAUACUUGAGAACCAUAUUAUUGUUGGCGAGCUUCUGGAAUCAAAAUCAUCUCAACAAGGUGACAGUAUAAACACACCUAAAUCCAUAAGUGGUGACCCAAGCUGGAACCCAGACUCUGAAUCUUCUCAAGUUACUGGAGGCUUUAGUGUGGGUUUUUCCUUGACAGUCAUACAGAGCGAAUGCCAACAACUCAUAUGUGAAGUUUUAAGAGCAACUCCGGAAGCUGCGACUGCAGAUGCUGCUGUUCAAACAGCUAGACUUGCAAACAAGGCCCCUGUAAAGGAAAAAAGGGAUGGAUCUGAAGGCCUUUCUUUUGCCUUUCGAUUUACAGAUGCAGCUGUAUCAAUGCCUAACCAAGGUGUUGGUCAAGGAUGGCGGAGGGUUUCAAAUGUGCAACAAGAAGGAUAUGGAACUGCAGCUGUUCUUCCUGAUCAGGGAAUUUAUCUGGCAGCAUCAGUUUAUCGCCCAGUUCUCCAGUUUACUGACAAAAUUGCAUCGAUGCUGCCCAAUAAGUAUUCACAACUUGGGAAUGAUGGUCUGUUAGCAUUUGUAGAGAACUUUUUGAAGGAUCAUUUUUUGCCAGCAAUGUUUGUCGAUUACCGAAAAUGUGUCCAACAGGCUAUAUCAAGUCCAGCAGCAUUCAGGCCACGAGCACAUGCUGCUUCAGUGUAUAGCCCACUAGUUGAGAAGGGCCGUCCUGUAUUGCAAGGCCUUGUAGCUACUGAUUUCUUAGCAAAAGAGGUGCUUGGCUGGGCACAUUUAAUGCCAAAAUAUGCAGGGGAACUGGUUGAAUAUGUGCAAACGUUCCUAGAACGAGCCCAUGAAAGAUGUCGAACUGCAUACAUGGAGGCUGUUUUAGAAAAGCAGAGCUAUAUGCUAAUUGGGAGGAAUGAUGUCGAGAGCUUGAUGCGACUUGACCCAGCCAAUGCUUAUUUACGAAAAUCCUCGGGGCAACCUUUUCUUGAAAACAAUGUUCCGGAUGCAGAAACUGUUGAAGUGGAGAUAGAAAUGAGUGAUUUAUUAUUGAGCUUGCGUCCAAUCAAGCAGGAAAACUUAAUCCGUGAUGAUCAUAAACUUAUUCUGUUGGCAUCUCUUAGUGAUUCUUUGGAAUGUCUAGCAGAUUCCAUCGAAAGGCUUGGAGAGUCUUUUGUAGGAGUGCCCACUGAUACGGAUGAGAAGGUCCAUACUAAGCCAGCUAAUCGCCGUGAACGGACUACAAGUGCAAUUCCUAAAAACCUUGCAUCUAUUGCUGAUGAGUAUAAGAGACUGGCAAUUGAUUGUCUCAAGGUUCUACGAUUGGAAAUGCAAUUAGAAACAAUUUUUCACAUGCAGGAAAUGUCCAAUCGGGAGUAUGUGGAAGAUCAAGAUGCAGAAGAACCUGAUGAUUUUAUAAUUUCACUUACAGCACAGAUUACUCGUUGGGAUGAGGAAAUAGCACCAUUUGUUGAAGAGUCAAAGAGGAAUUAUAUAUUUGGCGGAAUAUGUAGUGUUGCAGCAAGUGCAUCUGUCAAGGCGCUAGCUGAAAUGAAAUCCAUUAACCUGUUGGGAGUCCAGCAGAUAUGCAGAAAUUCCAUUGCAUUGGAACAGGCUCUGGCAGCCAUACCUCCAAUAGACAAUGAAGCAGUCCAGCAGAGACUAGAUCGUGUCCGGACAUACUAUGAACUUUUAAAUCUGCCAUUCGAGGCCUUGCUUGCAUUUAUUACAGAACAUGAGUACCUCUUUACAGCGAAAGAGUAUUCCAGCCUUCUAAAGAUCAGUGUCCCAGGCAGAGAAAUUCCAGCUGAUGCAGAGCAGCGGCUCUCCGAAAUCUUGAGUCAAUAGUCUUGCUGACAGAAUUGAAGCCGUAUUUGUCAUUUCAUAAGCGUGCAUGAGCUAUGGAUGUGAUACAGAUCUAUGUGAUGAUAACAAUAUGACAAGCACCUGUCAUGCGUAAGGAGCAGCAUCUGUGCAGACCAUUUGGACUACAAGCCAAUAGCUACGUAUCUGAAAAUUUUAAAAUUUUGCUGCAUCUUGUAGUCCAUUUUGGUUCUAUUCUCUCAAGUAUUGAUAUAAGUUUUCGGUGGGUUUUUUUGUUGGUAACAAGGGGGAACAGUAUAUGAUGAAUGGCCCUCUAGCAUGAUUUGGAUGGGCUUUUGAGUGCCUAAGAAUUUCAUGUUGAGGAUUAAGAAAUGUGUCGAGUGGAAUGAGUUACCAUGUUUAUAAGAUGUGUUCCUUAAUU